This 443-nucleotide ribosomal RNA is filed under the name uncultured bacterium. RNAcentral describes it as "partial 16S ribosomal RNA". It matches the Rfam family "Bacterial small subunit ribosomal RNA", at positions 338 to 795 of the family's 1533-position model. The record is from RNAcentral.
CCUACGGGAGGCAGCAGUGAGGAAUAUUGGGCAAUGGGCGCAAGCCUGACCCAGCAACGCCGCGUGAAGGAAGAAGGCUUUCGGGUUGUAAACUUCUUUUCUCAAGGGCGAAGCAAGUGACGGUACCUGAGGAAUAAGCCACAGCUAACUACGUGCCAGCAGCCGCGGGAAUACGUAGGUGGCAAGCGUUAUCCGGAUUUAAUGGGUGGAAAGGGCGUGUAGGCGGGACUGCAAGUCAGAUGUGAAAACCACGGGCUCAACCUGUGGCCUGCAUUUGAACCUGUAGUUCUUGAGUACUGGAGAGGCAGACGGAAUUCGUAGUGUAGCGGUGAAAUGCGUAGAUAUUAGGAGGAACACCAGUGGCGAAGGCGGUCUGCUGGACAGCAACUGACGCUGAGGCGCGAAAGCGUGGGGAGCAAACAGGAUUAGAUACCCUUGUAGUC